CUCUGUGGAUCAGUGGCGAACGGGUGAGUAACACGUGAGCAACCUGCCCCGGACUCUGGGAUAAGCGCUGGAAACGGCGUCUAAUACCGGAUACGAGAUUCCACCGCAUGGUGAGUUUCUGGAAAGAUUUUUUGGUCUGGGAUGGGCUCACGGCCUAUCAGCUUGUUGGUGAGGUAAUGGCUCACCAAGGCGUCGACGGGUAGCCGGCCUGAGAGGGUGACCGGCCACACUGGGACUGAGACACGGCCCAGACUCCUACGGGAGGCAGCAGUGGGGAAUAUUGCACAAUGGGCGGAAGCCUGAUGCAGCAACGCCGCGUGAGGGAUGACGGCCUUCGGGUUGUAAACCUCUUUUAGCAGGGAAGAAGCGAAAGUGACGGUACCUGCAGAAAAAGCGCCGGCUAACUACGUGCCAGCAGCCGCGGUAAUACGUAGGGCGCAAGCGUUAUCCGGAAUUAUUGGGCGUAAAGAGCUCGUAGGCGGUUUGUCGCGUCUGCUGUGAAAUCCCGAGGCUCAACCUCGGGUCUGCAGUGGGUACGGGCAGACUAGAGUGCGGUAGGGGAGAUUGGAAUUCCUGGUGUAGCGGUGGAAUGCGCAGAUAUCAGGAGGAACACCGAUGGCGAAGGCAGAUCUCUGGGCCGUUACUGACGCUGAGGAGCGAAAGGGUGGGGAGCAAACAGGCUUAGAUACCCUGGUAGUCCACCCCGUAAACGUUG
Molecule: ribosomal RNA, 715 nt
Filed under: Microbacterium marinum
Lineage: Bacteria; Bacillati; Actinomycetota; Actinomycetes; Micrococcales; Microbacteriaceae
Description: bacterial SSU rRNA
Rfam family: Bacterial small subunit ribosomal RNA
Source: RNAcentral